UGUAACAGCUCAGACUGUGCUUGUAACAUGCGCUUAACAGAACAUCUGGGUGAGCACAGCUGUUUCCCGCCCAAUUUAAUUCGGACUUCAAAAUGGGAAAGCAUAAAUCAUCUCUUCAAGAUGAAAUCCUGGUGGGUUUUAUGAAAGACAACCCGGACUUGGCAAAAGGAUUUGUGAAGGGCGACCGAGUUGUUGUCGAUGCCAAGUGGGCAGAGCUUUGCGGCGCUCUCAAUGCUGUUGGGCCGCCAAUCAAGGACGCAUUGGGUUGGAAAAAGGUUUGGGCAGAUUGGAAAACAAACAUCCGCAAGAAGAUGGCGAAAAACAAAUCAGAAACUCGAGCUACAGGUGGAGGGCCCUUCGCUCAGCAAUCGCUUGGGGAAUUGGAGGAGAUAGCUAUGUGGCCUCUACGAAAUGGUGGAAGGAGUAGGUGGGCCAGCGUAUGGACUUCCCCCCCGUACGACCAAGGAGGCCGACACUGGGGUUAAGUGCGUGAUGGAAGACCCCAUUGAGGAGGAACCCUCAGAGAAGGACGAACCCUCAGAGAAGGAGGAGCCCAUGCCGAAGCGCCGUCGAACUAGACCAGCGCAGACCAUGGACCUCAACGAUCUCUGCGCUGCUCAGCUGGAUGAAAUGUCGGCAAUUUCCAAGAAAAUUUCGGAACAUUUCGAACGAAUGGAAUCGUUAGGGGAGGAGAAGCUCGAGGUCCAAAAGGCGCUUGUAGACAAAUUUAGCCAAAUUUUGGACAAAUUUGCGAAAUAAUUAGUUUCCUAUUAGUUUUUUUGUGAAACUUAGCUUUAUUAGUUAUAAAGAAUAUCGAAUGACAUAAAGAAGAAAACAUGAAAAA
Molecule: long non-coding RNA, 844 nt
Organism: Drosophila miranda
Lineage: Eukaryota; Metazoa; Arthropoda; Insecta; Diptera; Drosophilidae
Exons: 3
Source: RefSeq, a predicted model, not a curated record